GGGAAUUUUGCGCAAUGGGCGAAAGCCUGACGCAGCAACGCCGCGUGUGUGAUGAAGGUCUUCGGAUUGUAAAGCCCUUUCGACGGGGACGAUGAUGACGGUACCCGUAGAAGAAGCCCCGGCUAACUUCGUGCCAGCAGCCGCGGUAAUACGAAGGGGGCUAGCGUUGCUCGGAUUGACUGGGCGUAAAGGGCGCGUAGGCGGUUUGUACAGUCAGACGCGAAAUUCCUGGGCUCAACCUGGGGGCUGCGUUUGAUACGUAUGGACUUGAGUUCGGAAGAGGGUCGUGGAAUUCCCAGUGUAGAGGUGAAAUUCGUAGAUAUUGGGAAGAACACCGGUGGCGAAGGCGGCGACCUGGUCCGAUACUGACGCUGAGGCGCGAAAGCGUGGGGAGCAAAC
Molecule: ribosomal RNA, 399 nt
Filed under: uncultured bacterium
Lineage: Bacteria
Description: bacterial SSU rRNA
Rfam family: Bacterial small subunit ribosomal RNA
Source: RNAcentral